This 163-nucleotide ribosomal RNA is filed under the name Amelanchier alnifolia var. semi-integrifolia. RNAcentral describes it as "5.8S ribosomal RNA". It matches the Rfam family "5.8S ribosomal RNA". From Rfam's summary of the family: 5.8S ribosomal RNA (5.8S rRNA) is a component of the large subunit of the eukaryotic ribosome. Lineage: Eukaryota; Viridiplantae; Streptophyta; Magnoliopsida; Rosales; Rosaceae. The record is from RNAcentral.
AAACGACUCUCGGCAACGGAUAUCUCGGCUCUCGCAUCGAUGAAGAACGUAGCGAAAUGCGAUACUUGGUGUGAAUUGCAGAAUCCCGUGAACCAUCGAGUCUUUGAACGCAAGUUGCGCCCGAAGCCGUUAGGCCGAGGGCACGCCUGCCUGGGCGUCACAC